RNAcentral lists this ribosomal RNA (1326 nucleotides) under Triticum aestivum (bread wheat). Its description in RNAcentral is "partial small subunit ribosomal RNA". The record is from RNAcentral. Lineage: Eukaryota; Viridiplantae; Streptophyta; Magnoliopsida; Poales; Poaceae.
AUGUCCGUGGCGGCGGGGGUCAGCGAUGCGGCCAUCGCGGUGCGCGACAAGCUCCGGGGCAAGAUCGGCCAGACCAAGGUGAAGCGCUACUGGCCCGGGAAGAAGCCCGAGUGGGCCGAUGAGGCCGAGGACGACAUCGACCUCCGGGCGGCCAGGGUCUCCCUCGACGAGGCCUUCCCCAAGGCCGAGGAAGGGGACCGGGACCGGGACCGGCCCCCCAAGGACGACCGGCGGCUCCGGCGGCUCGCGGAGACGCGCGCGGAGAACAAGGAGGAGCUCCGGGCCGACCACCGCCGCAUCCGGCAGGCUGAGAUCGUGUCCACCGCUGAGGAGGAGCGGGACAGGCAAGAGGCCCAGGUGGAGGAGGAGGACGACGAGGACGCGCAGGAGGAGCGGCGGCGGAGGAUCAAGGAGCGGCAGCGCCUCAGGGCGCAGGAGGAGGAGGAGCUGCUCCCGCAGGAGGAGGAGCCGCUCGAGGAUGACGUGCAGGAGUCGGAGGAGUCCGAGUACGAGACCGACUCGGAGGAUGAGCAGAUGGGCAUGGCCAUGGUGAAGCCCGUCUUCAUCCCCAAGGCGCAGCGGGACACCAUCGCCGAGCGCGAGCGGCUGGAGGAGGAGGAGCGGCAGGUGGAGGAGACCAUCAGGAAGAGGCUCGAGGCUAGGAAGAUCGAGACCAGGCAGAUUGUGGUGGAGGAGAUUAGGAAGGAUGAGCACAUUCAGAAGGCGCUCAACGAGGAUGCUAGCGUCGAGGAUGUCGACACGGAUGAUGAGCAGAACGAAGCUGAGGAGUACGAGUCAUGGAAGAAUCGUGAGAUGGCGCGGAUUAAGAGGGACAGGGAGGAAAGGUAUGCACGGUUGAAGGAGAAGGAAGAGAUUGACAAGGUGAGGAAUAUGACUGAGGAGGAGCGCCGGGAAUGGGAGAAGAAGAACCCCAAACCUUCUCUCCAGAAGUCCAAACAGAAGUGGAACUUUAUGCAGAAGUACUACCACAAGGGUGCCUUCUUCCAGGAAGGCGGUGAUGACGUGAGCCAGUCAGCUGGUAGAGAUGCUAUAUACACCCGUGAUUUCUCUGCGCCCACCGGUGAAGAUAAGAUGGACAAGAGCAUCUUGCCUAAGGUCAUGCAAGUCAAGCAUUUCGGGCGGAGUGGCAGAACAAAGUGGACACAUCUUGUUAAUGAGGACACUACCGACUGGGAUGCACCAUGGGCUACAAACGGGCCGCUGCGAACAAAAUAUAAUGCAAAAAUGGCGGGCAUGAAUGCACCUAUUGCUAAACCAAAGGGAAGUAAGAAGAUGAAGGAUUGGGAUACGAAACGAGAUGAUUAA